CCCAUAGUCACGAUCUUUCGAUGGAAACGUUCGAGCCCAGGAGUCGCAGUAGCCCUAACACUGACUGGAGAUCGCCAGCCAACACCGUAAAAGCCCUAGAUUUAUCCGAGAAAAAGGCAUCAUUAGCAGCAGUUUGAGAUCCAACAGAGACGCUCAUAAAAGCCCUAUAUUUAUCCAAAUUUCUCAAACCAAAACCUCGAAUUCCAUGCUUGAAACCGUGAAACAAACCGAAUUACAGCUCCUUAAGCUUCAAAAAUGACGAGAUUUUGAGGAGAAACCGAAGUUGUGAGCAGCAUUAGCAACUCCCGAUUCUCUACAAACAUCGCCAGCGACGGCGGCAUCGACACACCAGACUUCGACGAACUGGACAGGUCGAUGUUUCCUCCUUUCAGAAUCGCAGUCAUCAAAUCGAACGGAGACACAGCUUGAGUGUCGCCGAUGAGGCGUUCGUUCGCACAGAAAGUACCUCCAUCAUAGAGAGAAAGUACAGAGAUAGGAUAGGAGAGAGAAGAAG
Molecule: long non-coding RNA, 514 nt
Filed under: Panax ginseng (ginseng)
Lineage: Eukaryota; Viridiplantae; Streptophyta; Magnoliopsida; Apiales; Araliaceae
Description: long non-coding RNA (PGIN_LNC000310)
Source: RNAcentral